UGUUUUUCUUGAUAUAGAAAAUGAAAUGAAAAAUCUUAUGGGCAGACAUGGUGAGAAUGAAACUCACUCAGAUCAUGCAUGACAGUAAUAUCCAUCACAGAGCGUUCAUGGCAGCAUUCAAAAGCUUCUGCUCAUAACCAAAAUCUAGCAAAACAGGCAGCCUAAUGUUGUACCUGUACCCUAAUUAUAUCUGUUCCUCACUGCCAGGCUGGGAGCAUCCUGUCAUCCUAAGGAAAUGCCAACCAUCAGGCAGUGGCACAGUGAGAGCACAAAUUACUCCACUGAUGUGAGGAUGGAGGGAAAACAGAUAAACGUCUGACUUAAACAGCAAGAUUUUUAAUCAGAAAGACUGCAGAGCUGAUGAAUAUUUCAUGGGUAGAAAAACACCUACAAUACAGGUUUUACCUACAAAAUCUUUGGGGAAAGGGAGAAAAUGGCAGGAAGGCACGUUCAAUCCUAAUGGAGUUCUCCCCUGGAUUUCAAGAACAUAUUUACACUCGCAAGUGGCAAAGGUGACAAAAAAAGCUUUAUUUCACUAAAAACUGUCCCCUUCCAGACUUUAAA
Molecule: long non-coding RNA, 564 nt
Filed under: Phasianus colchicus (ring-necked pheasant)
Lineage: Eukaryota; Metazoa; Chordata; Aves; Galliformes; Phasianidae
Description: lncRNA (ENSPCLG00000015474.1)
Source: RNAcentral